Molecule: long non-coding RNA, 447 nt
Organism: Magnolia sinica
Lineage: Eukaryota; Viridiplantae; Streptophyta; Magnoliopsida; Magnoliales; Magnoliaceae
Exons: 2
Source: RefSeq, a predicted model, not a curated record
UUCCAUUGCUCUUAUGUUGAGAGAGAGAGAGAGAGAGGGAAAAAUCAGAUGGCGUAGGGAGAUGGGAAAGAAGGUUGUUUGGAGCGUCGGCUCUUGCAAGCCCGGCUAUGGCGUCCAUUUCUUCCGCGAUGAUUGUAUACUUGCAAUCUCACCGUUUCUUUGCCUUGUUUCGGGUCAGAUGCUGCCCAGCCCCACCUUAUCUACAUCCAGUUCCGGAAAAAAGUCAAGCUUCAGGUGGAAAAUAGGGUGGUGGAUUGGGAACCCCCUUCUGGUGGGUUUUCUUGAGUAGAGGUCUGACAGCAAUUCCUUGGGUAAUACAGUUUUGGCUAGUAUGGGAUUUGGGGAGUAUCACUUUGUGCUUUUUGUAAAAGUCACUAGGGCAAUGUCUCCUAAUUCGAAUGUCUCCACGAGGGAUUUUUUGGAAAAAAGGGUUCCUUACUUAUCUUA